UUAAGUUCAGCGGGUAGUCCUACCUGAUUUGAGAUCAAAAGUUCAGGGCGUCGUCCUCUGGUGAAGACAGUUAUAAGCUAGAGCGUCUCCGACGUUCGUCGCUCAGGACGGCACAAAUCGGCGUAGAUGUUUAUCACACCGGUCAAGCCAUCGAGAUCAACUCAAAGCUAAUGAUUUCAAGAGGAGCCGGCGAACACCAG
Molecule: unclassified non-coding RNA, 200 nt
Filed under: Odontia sp.
Lineage: Eukaryota; Fungi; Basidiomycota
Description: partial internal transcribed spacer 2
Source: RNAcentral